GGAGAGGUGGCCGAGUGGCUGAAGGCGCUCCCCUGCUAAGGGAGUAUAUCUCAAAAGGGUAUCGCGGGUUCGAAUCCCGCCCUCUCCGCCA
RNAcentral lists this transfer RNA (91 nucleotides) under Pseudomonas sp. RNAcentral's name for it is "tRNA-Ser". It matches the Rfam family "tRNA". From Rfam's summary of the family: Transfer RNA (tRNA) molecules are approximately 80 nucleotides in length. Their secondary structure includes four short double-helical elements and three loops (D, anti-codon, and T loops). RNAcentral also lists the same sequence under 15 other names. Lineage: Bacteria; Pseudomonadati; Pseudomonadota; Gammaproteobacteria; Pseudomonadales; Pseudomonadaceae. The record is from RNAcentral.